UGGAAAGUUUUCUUAAGAACAAUAAUCUCAGUUGAGACAUGAGUGACAGUGAAAAAUCUAGAUUUGAAAAGCAAGCAUUCAUGUAACUUUUUUUAUAACAGAUUUGUAAAUACCAGCUUCCAAGAACACCAUCUUCCCUGACUUAUACUGGACUUCUUCCAGGGUCCCAGUAAAUUGGAUGGAAGGAAGAUAGUAAGUCCAAGGAAAAUGAUAUUUAAAAAAAGAAAAGUAUCCCUAUAACCCAGCAUGUGAGCAUCUGAGAGAGAGUGUGUGUGCACAAUUGGAAAGCAGCUGAAAUCCUCAAAUGGUUGUCAUAAAUCGCCCUCCCACAUUUUUAUUAUCUUAUUAGUAGGAAAACAGUAAAAGUGAAUCGGUCAGAGACACAAAAGCAGUUGAGAAUCUGGCCUUUAAGUAUGUGUGCAACUCUGAACAUGGAUCCCCAUAACCUUUGAACUGCUUUGCUCUGACAGAAGACAGGAGUUUUAUGGAAAAAAUGGUUGGAGCUCAUUGAAAAACCUCCGUCUCCCCAAAUACUAGUGGCCUGCUAUGAAGUCCAAUCCUGCUGGCUGUCAACCAAAUUUUGCUCUCCACUUCUUCCAGUGGAAUGGAAGAAGAAGUGAAAUGUGUCUCCUUUGCACUGAGCUUUAAGAUGGUUUUCUUCAUGCUCUAGAAACAUGAUUCGCUUCAUGUCAGCCUCGCUGGAAACUCUCUUCUACCAUGCAGAUGAAAACAAUGCCCAGAGGAUGGUAGAGCUGCCCUGCUAGCCUGGCCCCAGACAGCAUGAUGGCGUGGAGCCUGCCUGCCAGUCUUGGACCGUUACUGGAGAGAAGCAAACUUCUGUCUCAUUUAGACCAUGGAUUUUUGGGUCUCUGUGCAAUGGCAAUUUGGCUUUCACUCCAAUCAAUAUACUUUCCUGACUUGAUAAUUUGAGAUAUGUUUAGUUUAGACUGCACGUGUUAAAUGUCUCUAUCCUCAUCCUUCCAUGUAUAAUAUGGAGUUUGGUUGUUUUCUAACCUUUUUUUCUGUCACAGAAGAGUCUGCUCACCACACUGAUGCAAUCACUUCCUUGAGUCAGCCUUGAUACCCAAGGUGCAGAUAAUUCUAUGCCCUCUGUCUGUAAGUGUAUACAAUUCUGAUUUUUAGGAGUGAGGUCUUUAUCAGCUAUAUUUACGUGGAACCAGCUCUAUUCUCCUGUUUGCUACUACAGAGAUUCACGUGAUACUAAAACGAAGAUAAUCUCUAGAGUUGUUGCAUGUGAGAGCUGGCCAGAGGCAGCCUGAGGAAUCGCUGUGCCCAUGGGCAAGCUGAAGUCUGUGGAUGUUGCUGCUAGUCGCAUGCCAGGGUUAGCAGGGUAAGAGAAUGUUCUUGUAUUCAAAGUGUGUCCUGCAGCCAUCUUUGGAGCCAAAAGUGGUGUUAUCGCUCUUUGGGAGCUUUGGCUCUUGGUAUUAGCCUAAAACAUGUGGAAGAUGCCAGGGAGGGUGGGUCAGCAGGGACUUCACUGCAGCACAAGCACUGUCAGAGCCUAGAGGUCUCUCCCAAACAUGCCUCCAUCUUGGGGCUGCAGUCAUGAGUCCAGGCUGUUUUCCUUGAUGCUGAUUUCGCCCUCAGGAGCACUGGUUUUCAUUUUCAAGUUUGGUCUCAGUGGGUUUAUUCUAGUCCGUCCGAAAUAUUUUUAUAUUCAUAAACCUCAGAGAGGGUCCUGG
This 1703-nucleotide long non-coding RNA is filed under the name Equus caballus (horse). RNAcentral describes it as "lncRNA (ENSECAG00000037171.2)". Lineage: Eukaryota; Metazoa; Chordata; Mammalia; Perissodactyla; Equidae. The record is from RNAcentral.